AUAUCUACCUAGCAGGGGAGACACCAUGACCACAAAGGUGGUUUCCCCCGGGUGUGGCUUGCCCACUGCACCCCAGAUAUGCUGACCCCUGCGACGCCCUCAAACAUGGGAAACUCGACUGCAUAAUUUGUGUUAGUGGGGAACUGCGUCUGCGCUCUCCCCUG
This is a small nuclear RNA of Phyllostomus discolor (pale spear-nosed bat), 164 nucleotides long. RefSeq annotates it as U1 spliceosomal RNA. The record is from RefSeq and is a predicted model, not a curated record. NCBI's taxonomy places the organism in Eukaryota, Metazoa, Chordata, Mammalia, Chiroptera, Phyllostomidae. The transcript has a single exon.